GAACGGGUGAGUAACACGUGGGCAAUCUGCCCUGCACUCUGGGACAAGCCUUGGAAACGAGGUCUAAUACCGGAUAUUACCCCUGGGGGCAUCCCUGGGGGUGGAAAGCUCCGGCGGUGCAGGAUGAGCCCGCGGCCUAUCAGCUUGUUGGUGGGGUGAUGGCCUACCAAGGCGACGACGGGUAGCCGGCCUGAGAGGGCGACCGGCCACACUGGGACUGAGACACGGCCCAGACUCCUACGGGAGGCAGCAGUGGGGAAUAUUGCACAAUGGGCGAAAGCCUGAUGCAGCGACGCCGCGUGAGGGAUGAAGGCCUUCGGGUUGUAAACCUCUUUCAGCAGGGAAGAAGCGCAAGUGACGGUACCUGCAGAAGAAGCACCGGCUAACUACGUGCCAGCAGCCGCGGUAAUACGUAGGGUGCGAGCGUUGUCCGGAAUUAUUGGGCGUAAAGAGCUCGUAGGCGGCUUGUCACGUCGGAUGUGAAAGCCCGGGGCUUAACCCCGGGUCUGCAUUCGAUACGGGCAGGCUGGAGUGUGGUAGGGGAGAUCGGAAUUCCUGGUGUAGCGGUGAAAUGCGCAGAUAUCAGGAGGAACACCGGUGGCGAAGGCGGAUCUCUGGGCCAUACUGACGCUGAG
RNAcentral lists this ribosomal RNA (635 nucleotides) under Streptacidiphilus sp. RNAcentral describes it as "bacterial SSU rRNA". It matches the Rfam family "Bacterial small subunit ribosomal RNA", at positions 100 to 750 of the family's 1533-position model. The record is from RNAcentral. Lineage: Bacteria; Bacillati; Actinomycetota; Actinomycetes; Kitasatosporales; Streptomycetaceae.